This 253-nucleotide ribosomal RNA is filed under the name uncultured bacterium. RNAcentral describes it as "partial 16S ribosomal RNA". It matches the Rfam family "Bacterial small subunit ribosomal RNA", at positions 524 to 776 of the family's 1533-position model. The record is from RNAcentral.
GACGGAGGGAGCUAGCGUUAUUCGAAAUUACUGGGCGUAAAGAGCGCGUAGGCGGAUUAUUAAGUUGGGAGUGAAAGCCCGGGGCUUAACCUCGGAACUGCUUUCAAAACUGCUAGUCUUGAGUAGAGUAGGGGGUGAUGGAAUUCCUAGUGUAGAGGUGAAAUUCUUAGAUAUUAGGAGGAACACCGGUGGCGAAGGCGGUCACCUGGACUCUAACUGACGCUGAGGCGCGAAAGCGUGGGGAGCAAACAGG